This is a non-coding RNA of Pelobates cultripes (western spadefoot toad), 520 nucleotides long. The record is from the annotation of a GenBank genome assembly. Lineage: Eukaryota; Metazoa; Chordata; Amphibia; Anura; Pelobatidae.
CAUUAUCUUAUCCUCUCCAUGUCUGCCAUCAUUCCAUUCUCUGUCACUGUGAUACCCAUUAUCUUAUCCUAUCCAUGUCUGCCAUCACUCCAUUCUCUGUCACUGUGAUACCCAUUAUCUUAUCCUAUCCAUGUCUGCCAUCACUCCAUUCUCUGUCACUGUGAUACCCAUUAUCUUAUCCUAUCCAUGUCCGCCAUCACUCCAUUCUCUGUCACUGUGAUACCCAUUAUCUUAUCCUAUCCAUGUCUGCCAUCACUCCAUUCUCUGUCACUGUGAUACCCAUUAUCUUAUCCUCUCCAUGUCCGCCAUCACUCCAUUCUCUGUCACUGUGAUACCCAUUAUCUUAUCCUCUCCAUGUCCGCCAUCACUCCAUUCUCUGUCACUGUGAUACCCAUUAUCUUAUCCUCUCCAUGUCUGCCAUCAUUCCAUUCUGUCACUGUGAUACCCAUUAUCUUAUCCUCUCCAUGUCCGCCAUCACUCCAUUCUCUGUCACUGUGAUACCCAUUAUCUUAUCCUAUCC